UCAAGGUGUCCAUCAAAAGCA
This 21-nucleotide non-coding RNA is filed under the name Arabidopsis thaliana (thale cress). The record is from RNAcentral. Lineage: Eukaryota; Viridiplantae; Streptophyta; Magnoliopsida; Brassicales; Brassicaceae.